This 468-nucleotide ribosomal RNA is filed under the name uncultured bacterium. Its description in RNAcentral is "partial 16S ribosomal RNA". It matches the Rfam family "Bacterial small subunit ribosomal RNA", at positions 28 to 507 of the family's 1533-position model. The record is from RNAcentral.
GACGAACGCUGGCGGCGUGCUUAACACAUGCAAGUCGAACGGAAAGGCCCUGCUUUUGUGGGGUGCUCGAGUGGCGAACGGGUGAGUAACACGUGAGUAACCUGCCCUUGACUUUGGGAUAACUUCAGGAAACUGGGGCUAAUACCGGAUAGGAGCUCCUGCUGCAUGGUGGGGGUUGGAAAGUUUCGGCGGUUGGGGAUGGACUCGCGGCUUAUCAGCUUGUUGGUGGGGUAGUGGCUUACCAAGGCUUUGACGGGUAGCCGGCCUGAGAGGGUGACCGGCCACAUUGGGACUGAGAUACGGCCCAGACUCCUACGGGAGGCAGCAGUGGGGAAUAUUGCCCAAUGGGCGGAAGCCUGAUGCAGCAACGCCGCGUGCGGGAUGACGGCCUUCGGGUUGUAAACCGCUUUCGCCUGUGACGAAGCGUGAGUGACGGUAAUGGGUAAAGAAGCACCGGCUAACUACGUG